RNAcentral lists this ribosomal RNA (226 nucleotides) under uncultured eukaryote. Its description in RNAcentral is "partial small subunit ribosomal RNA". It matches the Rfam family "Eukaryotic small subunit ribosomal RNA", at positions 1208 to 1456 of the family's 1831-position model. The record is from RNAcentral.
GGGAAACUCACCAGGUCCAGACACAAUGAGGAUUGACAGAUUGAGAGCUCUUUCUUGAUUUUGUGGGUGGUGGUGCAUGGCCGUUCUUAGUUGGUGGAGUGAUUUGUCUGCUUAAUUGCGAUAACGAACGAGACCUUAACCUGCUAAAUAGCCCGUAUUGCUUUGGCAGUACGCUGGCUUCUUAGAGGGACUAUCGGCUCAAGCCGAUGGAAGUUUGAGGCAAUAA